Molecule: long non-coding RNA, 1419 nt
Filed under: Homo sapiens (human)
Lineage: Eukaryota; Metazoa; Chordata; Mammalia; Primates; Hominidae
Description: HSALNT0383456
Source: RNAcentral
GUGAUUUUGAAGCGUGGAUAAGACUAACAGGCCGAAAGACCUUGAAGAGAAUUCAAAUUAAGAAGAAUUAAAAUUAUGAACCAAGAAAGGCAGAAGAAGUGAAGUAUGUAAAAAUGUACUUGUUCAGUCUUGCUACUAUUUCCUGGAGUCAAUCUUGGUUUAAAACAUAAUAAGCAGACCCUGGCUUGUCAUACCUACUUUCUCCCAGGGAUUUGAGACUAUAAUAAAAGCAUUUUAACUCAGUGGUAACUGGAUUAGAGUAAUGCAAGAACCUGCCACCUUGGGACCUCCUGCUUGUGUCUCGGCCUGAAUAAAUGUGCAUGGAAAUUGUUUUAAACUGAAGGCUGUGCAAGACCACAAGUUAUAGUAAUGUUGACAGUCUCAGCUUGGAACCUGGCAAAAUAGCAAAAAAAAAAAAAAAAAAAAAAAAAAAAAAAAGGAGAACACGGAUUGAAAACAGCUCAUUUGCUGGCAUCAAAGCAAUGCUCAAAGGUUUAGAUGUAAAACCUUUGCAGGUCAAUGGUGACAAUAUUUGCAAAGUGCCGCCAGCAUCUCCACUGCAAAUUGAAGCAACUUAAUACAAAUCCUUGCUGCAAAUCUAAAGCAACUUGAUUUCUUUUCCAGCCUCUAGUACUCAUAAGAAGCCAUAAGGAGUAGUUUCUCAGACUUAAAGUGUGCGAAAUGAUACUAAAUCUUCCAUUUCCUGGAGGCCGGAUAGGAAAUGAAAAGGUAUAAAGGUAUAGUUGUCACAUUCUGUCACAGCUGAAUAUCAUGGAAAUAAUCCCAUCAGUUUGUUCCCUUCAAAAGUAGCCGGUGUUUCAUUGUGAGUUCUGCCUUCAUUAUUUCACAGGUUUAUUGUACUCUGUCACAGAGGCAAAACAUCUGUUAGCAAAGACAAGGAAGGAGAAGGAGAUCCUCUAUCUUCCUUAUGAACAUUCAAAGAAGUUCUGGUGAAUUUACUGCUGGUGAAAAGUGGCGGCUUGUCAGUUUCCAAAACCCCAGCUUUGGGGAGGCACCAAACUGUUCCUGACUAAGAGCAAACAAAUUGUGCAUUUUCUACACAGUAUAACUGCAUCUUAGUGUCAAAUUCGGCAAAGUGGAUACAGAAGGGAUGAUUCAGAAAGGACGUAAAAUUAGUAUUUUUGUUCCCCGUAAGUCAGUACAAUCAUAGAAGUCCAGAUCUGCUUGUUAUAAAGCCAAGUCGUUUCCUGAAAGAGAUUCACCUGGAGUCCAUCUUUUCAUAGAAUGUUAUUUGUGUCCAUAGAACCAGGCAAAAUAGCUCAAAUUAUAAAACUAUUUCAGCAAGAACUUAAAAAUAUCAUGUGGUUCUGUUUCCAUCUUUCAAGCAAAAUAGAUAGUACGGUCUCCAUUUUACAGAUCAGAAUCCUACUCUGUCGCCCAGGCUGGAGUGCAGUGGCA